Molecule: ribosomal RNA, 361 nt
Filed under: uncultured bacterium
Lineage: Bacteria
Description: partial 16S ribosomal RNA
Rfam family: Bacterial small subunit ribosomal RNA
Source: RNAcentral
CCUACGGGUGGCUGCAGUGAGGAAUAUUGGUCAAUGGGCGGGAGCCUGAACCAGCCAAGCCGCGUGAGGGAAGAAGGUACAGCGUAUCGUAAACCUCUUUUGUCAGGGCACAAAGGCGGGGACUAGUCCCCGGAUGAGGGUACCUGAAGAAAAAGCAUCGGCUAACUCCGUGCCAGCAGCCGCGGUAAUACGGAGGAUGCGAUCGUUAUCCGGAUGUAUUGGGUGUAAAGGGUGCGCAGGCGGGCUGGUGAGGCAGCGGGGAAAGGCCGGGGGUCAACCCCGGGGGGGCGUUUAAACUGGGGGGGCUGGAGUGGGAGAGAGGCACGCGGAAUGCGGGGUGUAGCGGUGAAAUGCUUAGAUA